GUUUUUAUAGUUGAAGACAACAGUAAUUUUUCAGAUUUCAGGUCUAGGUUAAAGCCCUAGUAAAAACU
RNAcentral lists this transfer RNA (68 nucleotides) under Allobates insperatus. RNAcentral describes it as "tRNA-Glu". It matches the Rfam family "tRNA". Rfam says of the family: Transfer RNA (tRNA) molecules are approximately 80 nucleotides in length. Their secondary structure includes four short double-helical elements and three loops (D, anti-codon, and T loops). The record is from RNAcentral. Lineage: Eukaryota; Metazoa; Chordata; Amphibia; Anura; Aromobatidae.